GACGAACGCUGGCGGCGUGCUUAACACAUGCAAGUCGAACGGUGAACGAGGGAGCUUGCUCCCUCCGGAUCAGUGGCGAACGGGUGAGUAACACGUGAGCAAUCUGCCCCGAACUCUGGGAUAAGCGUUGGAAACGACGUCUAAUACCGGAUACGACGCGGGAGGGCAUCCUCUCCGCGUGGAAAGAACUUCGGUUCGGGAUGAGCUCGCGGCCUAUCAGCUUGUUGGUGAGGAACGGCUCACCAAGGCGACGACGGGUAGCCGGCCUGAGAGGGUGACCGGCCACACUGGGACUGAGACACGGCCCAGACUCCUACGGGAGGCAGCAGUGGGGAAUAUUGCACAAUGGGCGCAAGCCUGAUGCAGCAACGCCGCGUGAGGGACGACGGCCUUCGGGUUGUAAACCUCUUUUAGCAGGGAAGAAGCGAAAGUGACGGUACCUGCAGAAAAAGCACCGGCUAACUACGUG
Molecule: ribosomal RNA, 469 nt
Filed under: uncultured bacterium
Lineage: Bacteria
Description: partial 16S ribosomal RNA
Rfam family: Bacterial small subunit ribosomal RNA
Source: RNAcentral